RNAcentral lists this ribosomal RNA (500 nucleotides) under uncultured bacterium. RNAcentral describes it as "bacterial SSU rRNA". It matches the Rfam family "Bacterial small subunit ribosomal RNA", at positions 501 to 1000 of the family's 1533-position model. The record is from RNAcentral.
CUACGUGCCAGCAGCCGCGGUAAUACGUAGGUGGCAAGCGUUGUCCGGAAUUAUUGGGCGUAAAGCGCGCGCAGGCGGAUUGGUCAGUCUGUCUUAAAAGUUCGGGGCUUAACCCCGUGAUGGGAUGGAAACUGCCAAUCUAGAGUAUCGGAGAGGAAAGUGGAAUUCCUAGUGUAGCGGUGAAAUGCGUAGAUAUUAGGAAGAACACCAGUGGCGAAGGCGACUUUCUGGACGAAAACUGACGCUGAGGCGCGAAAGCCAGGGGAGCGAACGGGAUUAGAUACCCCGGUAGUCCUGGCCGUAAACGAUGGGUACUAGGUGUAGGAGGUAUCGACCCCUUCUGUGCCGGAGUUAACGCAAUAAGUACCCCGCCUGGGGAGUACGACCGCAAGGUUGAAACUCAAAGGAAUUGACGGGGGCCCGCACAAGCGGUGGAGUAUGUGGUUUAAUUCGAUGCAACGCGAAGAACCUUACCUACUCUUGACAUUCAGAGAACAUUC